ACGGAGGGUGCAAGCGUUAUCCGGAUUUAUUGGGUUUAAAGGGUACGUAGGCGGAAUAAUAAGUCAGUGGUGAAAUCCUGCGGCUCAACCGUAGAACUGCCAUUGAUACUGUUAUUCUUGAAUGUAGUUGAGGUAGGCGGAAUGUGUAAUGUAGCGGUGAAAUGCUUAGAUAUUACACAGAACACCGAUUGCGAAGGCAGCUUACUAAACUAUGAUUGACGCUGAUGUACGAAAGCGUGGGGAGCGAACAGG
This 252-nucleotide ribosomal RNA is filed under the name uncultured bacterium. RNAcentral describes it as "partial 16S ribosomal RNA". It matches the Rfam family "Bacterial small subunit ribosomal RNA", at positions 525 to 776 of the family's 1533-position model. The record is from RNAcentral.